GAUGAACGCUGGCGGCGUGCCUAAUACAUGCAAGUAGAACGCUGAAGCUUGGUGCUUGCACCGAGCGGAUGAGUUGCGAACGGGUGAGUAACGCGUAGGUAACCUGCCUCUUAGCGGGGGAUAACUAUUGGAAACGAUAGCUAAUACCGCAUAAAAGUUGACAUUGCAUGAUGUUGAUUUGAAAGAUGCAAUUGCAUCACUAAGAGAUGGACCUGCGUUGUAUUAGCUAGUUGGUGAAGUAACGGCUCACCAAGGCGACGAUACAUAGCCGACCUGAGAGGGUGAUCGGCCACACUGGGACUGAGACACGGCCCAGACUCCUACGGGAGGCAGCAGUAGGGAAUCUUCGGCAAUGGGGGCAACCCUGACCGAGCAACGCCGCGUGAGUGAAGAAGGUUUUCGGAUCGUAAAGCUCUGUUGUAAGAGAAGAACGAGUGUGAGAGGGAAAGUUCACA
Molecule: ribosomal RNA, 455 nt
Filed under: Streptococcus parasanguinis
Lineage: Bacteria; Bacillati; Bacillota; Bacilli; Lactobacillales; Streptococcaceae
Description: bacterial SSU rRNA
Rfam family: Bacterial small subunit ribosomal RNA
Source: RNAcentral